GGAUGUGAGGGCGAUCUGGCUGCGACAUCUGUCACCCCCAUUGAUUGCCAGGGUUGAUUCAGUUGAUCUGGCUGGCUAGGCGGGUGUCCCCUUCCUCCCCCACCGCUCCAUGUGCAAUGACCAUCCCCGAUAGAGGAGGACCUUUCUUCGGUCAAGGGUAUACGAGUAGCUGCGCUCCGAACAAGCUCUCAAAUGACCUAAGUCCAUCAUUACACUGUUAUUGAU
RNAcentral lists this small nuclear RNA (225 nucleotides) under Castor canadensis (American beaver). Its description in RNAcentral is "7SK RNA (ENSCCNG00000025961.1)". It matches the Rfam family "7SK RNA". Rfam says of the family: 7SK was discovered as an abundant small nuclear RNA in the mid-70s but a possible function has only recently been suggested. Two independent studies have found that 7SK RNA binds the CDK9/cyclin T complex (known as elongation factor P-TEFb). Lineage: Eukaryota; Metazoa; Chordata; Mammalia; Rodentia; Castoridae. The record is from RNAcentral.